CGAUUGAUCAGUUUCUAAUUUGAUCCUAUUUCCUUGAAGGUGUGAUAGUACCAAAGAAAACAGAACAUACUUCUCAGUUAGGUUUUGAAGGAAGUCCAUCAGUGUCAGAUGUUCCACAUUGUUGAGCUUCCCCUCUUCUGUGGUUUCCAUCACUGAGGUUGCUCUGCUCCUGGUAGAAUUGCUCUGCUCCUGGUAGAAAUGUAAUUAUAUUGCAAAUAAUCAAACUUAAUAUACAACAAAUAUCAUACUGAAAUGAUUAUUAACUGUUAAAGAGUGGAGGAGCAUUGUCAACGUUGGGCCAAUUAAACAACUGCAACACAACAGAGAUGGUUGUGGUACAUCAACAUUGCCAAUGAUAGCAUCGCUAUAACAUUUUAUUGGAUUAAUGUUGUAAUAUGAAAUGACAAGGUCAACUUACCAUCUCAUUGACAGCUUCAGAGGUCAGGUGGUCAUCCACCACACAGACAGGCAGGUCUAGAGACUGGGACAAGGCUCUAUGGUCAUAACCAGGAGAGAAUGGAAACAACAUCAGAGCAGUCCCAAUGGCAGAAUCUAACCACUGUCUUCAUGUCAAAGACUCACUUAGUAGUUAAUACAUGGCCACAAAUAAUGAGCGGUUCAAAUAGAUCGGCUGGGGACUUGACCCUACAAAUGACUCCAUGAAUGACGCCUGACCUGCCCCAUAACAAGUUCUUUCUUAUUAGUCUCUCUCUCUUAAUCUCCACACAAAUAUCUAACUGGACAGAGUGUAAGUGGCCUUACCUGACUCUCUCAGUGUCAGAAACAUCAUAGUCUUGUUGUUCUAUGUCCUCCAGGGACAUCUCAGCUACAGCAGACGGGGCAAAGCCCGGGAUGAUCUCUCAAACUGAAAAUAAUGACUGUUUAUGUGAACUGAACCAUUUACAGUGGCUUGCGAAAGUAUUCACCCCCCUUGGCAUUUUCCCUAUUUUGUUGCCUUAUAACCUGGAAUUAAAAUAGAUUUUUGCACUGUCAACUGUGGGACCUUAGGUAUGUGCCUUUCCAAAUCAUGUCCAAUCAAUUGAAUUUACCACAGGUGGACUCCAAUCAUGUUGUAGAAAUACCUCAAGGAUGAUCAAGGGAAACAGGAUGCACCGGUGCUCAAUUUCGAGUCUCAUAGCAAAGGGUUUGAAUACUUAUGUAAAUAAGGUAUUUCUGUUUUUUUCCGUUUUAAAUUGCAAAAAUGUCUAAACUGUUUUUGCUUUGUCAUUAUAGGAUAUUGUGUGUAGAUUGAUGAGGAAAAUGUUGUAUGUAAUCCAUUUUAGAAUGAGGCUGUAACGUAAAAAAUGAAAUGUGUAAAAAGUCAAGGGGUCUGAAUACUUUCCAAAUGCACUGAAGCAGUCUAUAAGAUAUAUCUUAUUACAGUUUAGGCCUACCUUGUUAUUUUCUUCCAUCUGGCAAUAUCAUAUUAAUGGAUUAAAUCUAUUUAGUUUGUUUUGUUGCUAGUAUUUUUAUUAAUCGUUUGAAAAUACAAGUAUUAUCUACUUUCUGAAGGACAGCCAAGUUGAUAGGCAACAUAGAACCUACAAACAAUUAUGACAUCAUUGGAACACAUGCACGUGUCACAAACACCUUUAGCCCAAAAAAGCAGUGUAGCAGUGCUGCCCAAGCUGGGGGCGAUACACUUUUAUUAGGCUUUUAUUCAGAUUCACAAACAAUGCUCUACUUGAAGUCAAUGAGUAAACAUGUAGCAACAUGGCUGAGCUUUAACGUGUAAGUAGAAGUUGACACUAACCAUAUGUAU
Long non-coding RNA from Oncorhynchus tshawytscha (Chinook salmon), 1762 nucleotides. The record is from Ensembl. Lineage: Eukaryota; Metazoa; Chordata; Actinopteri; Salmoniformes; Salmonidae.